UGCAUGAUCUUUAUAUAUUUUAUGCAAUAUCUACUGCAUUUGGUGCACUUUUUAUAACACGUCAUACAAUAGAUGUUACUUAACAGUAACUCAUAUAUAUAUACAAUUAUAAGAAGGAACCUAGCAUUGAAUAGAUGAAAAUUUCAAAGCACAAAUAAAUUGUAAUGAGGAAUUUGAUCCAAAGCAAUGACAAAUAUUGCUCUCAUUACCUCUGUGUAUAUUUUGUUACCCU
RNAcentral lists this long non-coding RNA (232 nucleotides) under Solanum tuberosum (potato). RNAcentral's name for it is "long non-coding RNA (STUB_LNC010141)". The record is from RNAcentral. Lineage: Eukaryota; Viridiplantae; Streptophyta; Magnoliopsida; Solanales; Solanaceae.